This 72-nucleotide transfer RNA is filed under the name Camelus bactrianus (Bactrian camel). It matches the Rfam family "tRNA". From Rfam's summary of the family: Transfer RNA (tRNA) molecules are approximately 80 nucleotides in length. Their secondary structure includes four short double-helical elements and three loops (D, anti-codon, and T loops). Further hydrogen bonds mediate the characteristic L-shaped molecular structure. tRNAs have two regions of fundamental functional importance: the anti-codon, which is responsible for specific mRNA codon recognition, and the 3' end, to which the tRNAs corresponding amino acid is attached (by aminoacyl-tRNA synthetases). tRNAs cope with the degeneracy of the genetic code in two manners: having more than one tRNA (with a specific anti-codon) for a particular amino acid; and 'wobble' base-pairing, i.e. permitting non-standard base-pairing at the 3rd anti-codon position. Lineage: Eukaryota; Metazoa; Chordata; Mammalia; Artiodactyla; Camelidae. The record is from Rfam by way of RNAcentral. RNAcentral also lists the same sequence under 2 other names.
AAGGCUAUAACUCAGUGGUAGAGUGCCUGCUUAGCAUGCGCGAGGUCCUGGGUUCAAUCCCCAGUGCCUCCA